This 253-nucleotide ribosomal RNA is filed under the name uncultured bacterium. RNAcentral's name for it is "partial 16S ribosomal RNA". It matches the Rfam family "Bacterial small subunit ribosomal RNA", at positions 524 to 776 of the family's 1533-position model. The record is from RNAcentral.
UACAGAGGGUGCGAGCGUUAAUCGGAAUUACUGGGCGUAAAGCGCGCGUAGGCGGCUUUGCAAGUCGGGUGUGAAAUCCCCAGGCUUAACCUGGGAACUGCAUUCGAGACUGCAUUGCUAGAGUAUGGGAGAGGGAAGUGGAAUUUCCGGUGUAGCGGUGAAAUGCGUAGAUAUCAGGAGGAACACCGGUGGCGAAGGCGGGUCUCUGGGCAGUAACUGACGCUGAGGAGCGAAAGCGUGGGGAGCGAACAGG